UUGAGGGUGCUUAGUGAUUAAACGGUGUCCAUGUAAGCUUUUAAGGACUGUUUCAGGAGACCAAGCUUAGCAGUGCUUGCUUGAAAAAAAAUUCCAGCUGAGAAUGUGUUCUCCUUCUUGGUUUCCAUGAACAAGAGGUGGCAGCUGAGGCCACAACAUUCUGGUGUUCUGUCACUCUUCUUUUGGUGGCCAAGAAACACAAUUGCUCCCUCAAUAACCCUCACAUGAUAUCCAUAUCGCGACCCAGAAACUGAUGAUAACUAGAGCCACGGAUCGAGAGAAAGAGGACACAUACACCAUCAAGAAACAACUUUGAAAAGCCUACAUGGACACCGUCAAAAGUCAAAUCAAUGAUAAAUGGAGGUGUUGACGCCAAAAGGGUGGUGGCAGCAGAGGAGGUGGAGACGGCGGUGUCGCGGCUUCAUUACUAUGGUUUAAUCAAUGUUCAUGUUUCUUGUAGGAAGGGUUUGAACUUUGAAUAUUGCUUACACAGAUAGAAGGAGUGGUGCGGCAGAUCAAGAGAAUCAGGUAAAUGACUUGAAUCUAACUUUUAUUAUUAAUGAUCAUGAGUUAAAGAUUAUGAAUUUCUUAACCAAGUCUAGCACUAUCUUAGCUUUUUAUACUGUAUUCUCAAGCUAUAUUUGUUUCUUUUUAUAUAUGACCAUGGGGAGACUUAGAAGUGUCAAAUGCUUACGAAGGGAGAAGAGCCUGCUGAAUUGAGGAGAUCACGUAAACUUUUCUCCGAUAUAGACACUACACACAUUGUAAUUUUUUAACUUCCCAAGGACAUUUAGUAACGGUGGAAAAAUUUAAGUGUGUAUAAUCCCAGGUGAGAAAAAAAAUACAUUGUUCGUGUUACAUACUGUAACUAUGUGUAUUUGUGUUCUACAAUCAAGAAUUAAUCUUUCUAUCAGAGAUAAUCAGGAAUCUAUGUAAUUUCAAUGCGUUUUCCGGGAAUAUGCAUCCUUCUUCCCAAAACUGAGAGUGAAGACAACUAAACGCAGAGAGAAAAAACCUUUAUCACCAUGAAGCUCGUUUGGUCUCCAGAAUCAGCCUUGAAAUCCUACAUCAACACUCUUAAAUCAGUAAGAACCAUUAACACCAUGAACCAUCAAUCACAUAAUUAAUAAUUUUCUUUCUUUAGCUUCUUCAUUUUCUUUUAUUCUUUCUUUAUCACUUCUUUCUUUUCCUCUUGAUAUGCACAAAUGAUAUACGUAAUUUGUCUGCCAUUGUUAUAACUUUUUCCUUUUAGAUCUAUUUUCUUGUCCUUGCAUGUGUAUAUAUGGUUAUGCAACAAAGUAAUUGAUAUACUUAUUAAAUAUGUUAGAUUUUACACAAAAGAUUCUUACCAAAUAUCCGAUGGAUAUGAAAGAUAUGAAUGUCUCCGGUGAAUUUGUAUAUGAAUUAUUCACUAGGGUUUUGAGGGAGCGUGGUGCUACCAUCUGGGAAGCUAUUUGGAUAGUUUUGAAGAUAAAGUUAGUUACGAUCAGAUGUCCACUUGUUUUUACAUUCAUUUAUUGUUUUACAUUGCUUAGAGAAUAUAUAAGGCACUCGUUGUAUGAAAAGAUUAUUGUUCUAGGUCUAGGUUUCACCAGUUUCUUACCUAUAAAAUUGUGAAGAGUUCAAUCCUAUUUAUAAAUCAACAGUAAUCCAAUUUUGUGCUUCCAUUAAUGAAAACAC
Glycine soja is the source of this 1680-nucleotide long non-coding RNA. RefSeq lists it as uncharacterized. The transcript has 4 exons. The record is from RefSeq and is a predicted model, not a curated record. NCBI's taxonomy places the organism in Eukaryota, Viridiplantae, Streptophyta, Magnoliopsida, Fabales, Fabaceae.